UAAGUAGGGCAGACGGUCGCGGCUGCGGCAGCCGUAAGGCGCGCAGACGAGGAAAGUCCGGGCUUCACAGGGCAGGAUGCCGGAUAACGUCCGGUGGAGGUGACUCCAAGGAAAGUGCAACAGAAAUAAACCGCCGGGAAACCGGUAAGGGUGGAAAGGCAGUGUAAGAGACUACCGCGGCGCUGGUAACAGCGCCGGCUCUGUAAACCCCAUCCGAAGCAAGACCAGACAUAAGCGAUGACGCUGCCCGCCAGCUUAAGGUAGGUCGCUCAAGGCGGUUGGCAACAGCCGCCUUAGAUAGAUGGCCGUCCACGACAUAACCCGGCUUACAGCCCUGCUUAUUUU
Molecule: RNase P RNA, 345 nt
Filed under: Lachnospiraceae bacterium
Lineage: Bacteria; Bacillati; Bacillota; Clostridia; Lachnospirales; Lachnospiraceae
Description: RNase P RNA component class A
Rfam family: Bacterial RNase P class A
About the family: Ribonuclease P (RNase P) is a ubiquitous endoribonuclease, found in archaea, bacteria and eukarya as well as chloroplasts and mitochondria. Its best characterised activity is the generation of mature 5'-ends of tRNAs by cleaving the 5'-leader elements of precursor-tRNAs.
Source: RNAcentral